AGUACUUACGAUUUCAUUAAGGAAAAC
This 27-nucleotide non-coding RNA is filed under the name Rattus norvegicus (Norway rat). Lineage: Eukaryota; Metazoa; Chordata; Mammalia; Rodentia; Muridae. The record is from RNAcentral.